CAAUCGGCCCUCUUCAGGGCCACAAAAAGCUUUCAUUUUAUCGUUUU
Molecule: non-coding RNA, 47 nt
Organism: Bursaphelenchus xylophilus (pine wood nematode)
Lineage: Eukaryota; Metazoa; Nematoda; Chromadorea; Rhabditida; Aphelenchoididae
Source: Rfam